AGAGGAAGAUCAGCCACACUGGGACUGAGACACGGCCCAGAUUCCUACGGGAGGCAGCAGUGGGAAUAUUGCACAAUGGGGGAAACCCUGAUGCAGCCAUGCCGCGUGUUUGAAGAAGGCCUUCGGGUUGUAAAGCACUUUCAGUUGUGAGGAAAAGUUAGUAGUUAAUACCUGCUAGCCGUGACGUUAACAACAGAAGAAGCACCGGCUAACUCCGUGCCAGCAGCCGCGGUAAUACGGAGGGUGCGAGCGUUAAUCGGAAUUACUGGGCGUAAAGCGCACGCAGGCGGUUUGUUAAGCUAGAUGUGAAAGCCCCGGGCUCAACCUGGGAUGGUCAUUUAGAACUGGCAGACUAGAGUCUUGGAGAGGGGAGUGGAAUUCCAGGUGUAGCGGUGAAAUGCGUAGAUAUCUGGAGGAACAUCAGUGGCGAAGGCGACUCCCUGGCCAAAGACUGACGCUCAUGUGCGAAAGUGUGGGUAGCGAACAGGAUUAGAUACCCUGGUAGUCCACACCGUAAACGCUGUCUACUAGCUGUGUGUGCCUUUAAGGCGUGCGUAGCGAAGCUAACGCGCUAAGUAGACCGCCUGGGGAGUACGGCCGCAAGGUUAAAACUCAAAUGAAUUGACGGGGGCCCGCACAAGCGGUGGAGCAUGUGGUUUAAUUCGAUGCAACGCGAAGAACCUUACCUACACUUGACAUGCUGAGAAGUUACUAGAGAUAGUUUCGUGCCUUCGGGAACUCAGACACAGGUGCUGCAUGGCUGUCGUCAGCUCGUGUCGUGAGAUGUUGGGUUAAGUCCCGCAACGAGCGCAACCCUUGUCCUUAGUUGCCAGCCUUAAGUUGGGCACUCUAAGGAGACUGCCGGUGACAAACCGGAGGAAGGUGGGGACGACGUCAAGUCAUCAUGGCCCUUACGUGUAGGGCUACACACGUGCUACAAUGGCAUUUACAGAGGGAAGCGAGACAGUGAUGUGGAGCGGACCCCUUAAAGAAUGUCGUAGUCCGGAUUGGAGUCUGCAACUCGACUCCAUGAAGUCGGAAUCGCUA
Molecule: ribosomal RNA, 1047 nt
Filed under: Alteromonas sp.
Lineage: Bacteria; Pseudomonadati; Pseudomonadota; Gammaproteobacteria; Alteromonadales; Alteromonadaceae
Description: bacterial SSU rRNA
Rfam family: Bacterial small subunit ribosomal RNA
Source: RNAcentral